CAGUAGCCGCGGGAAUACGUAGGUGGCAAGCGUUGUCCGGAAUUAUUGGGCGUAAAGGGUGCGUAGGCGGUUUGACAAGUCUUAUGUGAAAUCUCUGGGCUCAACCCAGAGUCUGCAUGGGAAACUGUCGAGCUUGAGUAUGGGAGAGGUGAGUGGAAUUUCCGGUGUAGCGGUGAAAUGCGUAGAUAUCGGAAGGAACACCUGUGGCGAAAGCGGCUCACUGGACCAUUACUGACGCUGAUGCACGAAAGCUAGGGGAGCAAACAGGAUUAGAUACCCGCGUAGUCCCUGUCUCUUAUAA
Molecule: ribosomal RNA, 301 nt
Filed under: uncultured bacterium
Lineage: Bacteria
Description: partial 16S ribosomal RNA
Rfam family: Bacterial small subunit ribosomal RNA
Source: RNAcentral